CGCUAUCCGCCCGGGAACUACGAGCAUUAGCUUAAAACCCAAAGACUUGGCGGUCUUAAGAUCCACCUAGAGGAGCCUGUUCUAGAACCGAUGACCCCCGUUCAACCUCACCCUCCCUUGUUUAUCCCGCCUAUAUACCGCCGUCGUCAGCUUACCCUGUGAAGGCCCAAUAGUGAGCAAAACUGGCACAGCCCAAAACGUCAGGUCGAGGUGUAGCGUAUGGGAGGGGAAGAAAUGGGCUACAUUCACUGUCCCAGUGAAUACGAAUAGUACACUGAAAUAUGUACUUGAAGGAGGAUUUAGCAGUAAGCAGAAAGCAGAGGUUCCGCUGAAACCGGCUCUAAAGCGCGCACAC
This 355-nucleotide ribosomal RNA is filed under the name Anabas testudineus (climbing perch). Its description in RNAcentral is "partial small subunit ribosomal RNA". It matches the Rfam family "Bacterial small subunit ribosomal RNA", at positions 863 to 1390 of the family's 1533-position model. Lineage: Eukaryota; Metazoa; Chordata; Actinopteri; Anabantiformes; Anabantidae. The record is from RNAcentral.